AACGCAUCUUGCGCUCCUUGGUAUUCCGAGGAGCAUGCCUGUUUGAGUGUCAUCAAGUUCUCAACCACCAUGUUUUUGUGUGUGGCUUGGAUUUGGGGGUAUCUGUUGUGCAGGCUUUAUCAAGUCAGCUCCCCUGAAAAGCAUUAGUGGUAUCUGAGCAAAAACUACUACUAGGUGUGAUAACUAUCUAUGCCUUGGUAUAUAAUGCAUGAACAGACUACACUGCUUGCAAACUUUGAAAUUGACCAAUUUGACCUCAAAUCAGGUAGGACUACCCGCUGAACUUAA
This 288-nucleotide unclassified non-coding RNA is filed under the name Itersonilia sp. RNAcentral's name for it is "partial contains 5.8S ribosomal RNA, internal transcribed spacer 2, and large subunit ribosomal RNA". The stretch from base 1 to 52 matches the Rfam family "5.8S ribosomal RNA", at positions 103 to 154 of the family's 154-position model. Lineage: Eukaryota; Fungi; Basidiomycota; Tremellomycetes; Cystofilobasidiales; Mrakiaceae. The record is from RNAcentral.